Molecule: long non-coding RNA, 236 nt
Organism: Thalassophryne amazonica
Lineage: Eukaryota; Metazoa; Chordata; Actinopteri; Batrachoidiformes; Batrachoididae
Exons: 4
Source: RefSeq, a predicted model, not a curated record
AAAUAAACAAACCCAUUCACACAUAGCUGCAGUCAAUUUAGAGUCAGCAAUCCGACUAACCUGCAUGUCUUUGAAUGUGGGAGGAAGCCAGAGUACCUGAACAGAACACACGCAAACAGGGGGACAACAUGUAAACUUCACAUAGAAAGAACCAGAUGGAAAGUUAUCCCAUGACCUUCUUGCUAUGAGGCAACAGUGCUAACCACUAAGCCACAAUGGUGCCAUUGUAAUCUUCA